This 1811-nucleotide long non-coding RNA is filed under the name Lynx pardinus (Iberian lynx). Lineage: Eukaryota; Metazoa; Chordata; Mammalia; Carnivora; Felidae. The record is from RNAcentral.
UUUUAUCAUUUUGCUACUCAUUAUAUGGAUUUUAAAUAUAAUUGGAUAAUCUGCAUAAUUGAAUAGUAUAUCUCUUAGAUAAAACAUUAACUGAUUUGCUUUUACUCAGGUGUAGCUUCUGCCAUUUUUUUUGGUUAUUUUGUCUUCAUGGCCAUAAAAAAAUAUUUAUUCAGUGCUGAGGAGACUGAUACUGCUUCUUCCCCCCCCAUAGAAAAACAAAGCUCAUUUGCUUUCAAUGAUCUAAUUUCAGUAGAAUUCUUUAGUAGAGGAUUUCUUUUUCAUAGCCAAUUGAUUGGUGGGAGAAAAUGGACCAUUAUGCUAGAUAAGAAGGUUUUAGAAUGGUUGAAAAUAUCACUUAGUUGUAUAAACUAAAUGUAGUAUAUUUGGUAAACACUACAAACAUUAAGCUAAAAUGUAAUCUCUUAGAUAUGCUGUCCUUCGAAAGUUUGUUCCUGUGAGUGUAGUUUUGUAGAUGGCUUUCCUUGUCUCUGAAACUUUCCUUACGCAUUAAGAAAGUUUACUAACAUAUUCACAUUCAUAUGUUUGAAAGGUAUAUUAUGAUGAAAAAAAUCAAUGUGGAAUUGUGAAAACCUUAGUACAAAUAAAAGCAUUCAAAAGAGCUUGAUUGCAGAAUUAAUAACGUGAUAGUUCUAGGAAAAGAGCUGCAAUGGUAAAUUAAAUUCACUGUCAAUAGAUGAAAAUGAAAUAGCUUUUUUGCAUUAUACAUGAGGUGGUAUCAGAUGUGCAGGGAUGUUACAGAAAAUUGGUGUUUAUCAAGGAUAUUCCAAAUAGUAAAUUAAAUGCCUUUUCAUUUGAAUAUAGUUUAUUUUCAGUGGGUUUGAAAGGGUGCACCGAGAAUUAGAUCUUUUGUUUUUAGUCCACUUAGUUAUACAUUUUUUUCUUAUUACAUUGAAAUUGCUUAUUUUAUUUAUAGUUCUGAAGCACGUUAUUCAUAUAGAACAAGAAUAUCCGUUGGAAAAAAUGGAAAACUGGAAUGCGUUGAACAAAAUUUUGUGUGUGUAGUGACGUAACCUGAUCAAAUGUGAUUUGAAAUGUCUGGAUAAAAGAAGGCUUAUACUCUGCCUGUAACAGGUGGAAACCAAGCACACGCUAUGGAAUUAAUUUUAAGGAUAAAGUAAAGCCUUGUAAUUAAUAAGAAGUUGUAUUAAUUCUGAACACUUUAAUUUAAAUAUGGUAUUACUGGAUUAUUCCCUGUUCAGACAGAUACAUCUCUCUUCUUCUGACAGACUUCAAUUUUAAUAGUCUUUCUGUUCACACUUGACCACAAGCCUGUGGAAUUAUCUAAGGUCCUGGUAUUCUUCAACAUAACAGCCUCUGAGCUACUUUCAACUUCUCGUGCUCAGAUAUAUUUAAGGGAUACUUACCUGCUCAUCUCAGAUGAACCAAAUUAUAAAACUGUGAUUUCUUAUCGCCGAGUUCUUACAGGAUUAUGCAGUAAUUUGGAAGCCCAUUUUUGUGUUUCAUAUAUGUAUUUAUGACUCCUCUAUUAGAGUGAACAUGCCUGAUGUUUAUUUCAUCAAGAAUCUUUCUAUUUCUUGUUUGGUAAGACAGUGUAUUUGGGGAAAAGUAUACUUUAGUUGUAUAACCUAAUGGAUUUUCUCAAAUUACCUAAGUUUCAAACAGAAUGUAAUUGUGUUCGGAAGGUUUAGUUAAAAUACUGAUGUAUUUAACACAGACUUUCUUUAGGAUGUAUAAGCCAGUAUACAGACACACUUUGGGGAUAUUUUAACAAAUUUCAUCUCAAAUGUAUGUCCAUUGUUUUUACUAUAGCCAAUAUAAUAUACUCAUAU